CGGCGGCAGUGAGGAGGAGCGAGCAGUGCCAGCAUCCCGGAGCGGGCGUGUUUUCCUCCCAGUCCUCCGCCUCUUCUCACCCCAGUGUGAACCACAGGUCAGAGCGGUGCUGGAGACGCAGAUGGCUACAAGCUCACACGCAGCAAGGUGUUUCAGCAGCUCAGCCUAGCAGCCUCUGUCAUUUGGAAGUAUCAGAGCAGCUGGGACAGCUCUGUAACCAACUCUGGAAGGAAAAAUGGAAUUCUGAGCAAAUGCCAGCUCUCCCUGCAGAGAACAGAGCUGUGUGCUCACCCCCUACAGCUCCAGCAGGAAAUGCUCCAGGACAGACCACCCUGUGCUUAUUUCCCUCCAGGUUUGAACAGUUAGAGAUAACCAGGAUGUAUGCAGUGGCCCUUAAUUCCACAUACACGUUGGGGAUUUAACUGCGAGAAACCCUCUCUGUGUUGCUGAUAAAAAAACGUUCCAGAUGAGAUGUGCAAGUCGGAGAGCUCAGAGGAACCUGCCUGGAAUUGCUGCAGGUUGACUUAGCAAACAUCAGCGUCCCUCAAUUCUGCAUAGAGAUCUGCUGUAUUUCAUGGGGUUUAGCACCACUUCAGGAAGAAAGCCAUCCACCAGGAAAACUGCAAGCGAAGCUGCUUAGAAUAAAUCAUGUUAAGUCGUAUUAUCACCGCCAUGGCUUGGUCUGGUCAAUCAGGCUGAACUAUUUCAACUAUUUAAGGAAAACAAAACAGUACAAAACAAAACCAUCAAUUAUGAAUAUAUGGGUGUUCUGAAUUUUGUUUUUAUUUUCAUUUUAGUGCCAAGAACACAAAGCAAUCAUAUAGCAGUCUGUAACCUUAAGAACAACAAUACGAACAAUUCAGGCAUCCAAAGACACCAAAUCCUUUUUUGACCACAUGAAGUAUGCAGAAAAAGAUUCAUCAUCAUCUGUUGUCUAUGACUGUCAAAUAAAUAUGUAAAGGAUAAUAAUAAAAAGACCCUUCCUCAGUCAAGGAGCUUCACAGCUAUUUUCUUAAUCAGGAUUUUGUCCCACUCUGUAGUUGAACACGUCCCACAAAAGCCUGAAGGCCACCAACUCCAUUAAAGCAAACCAAAUGAAACAAACCAGCCAACCAAACAGCCAACUAACCAACGAUGCAAUCAAACCAGCCAACUCACCAACCGACCAAACCAGCCUACCAGUGAACCAAACAACCAACCAGACAAACCUGCCAACUAACCAACCAAACCUGCCAACUAACCAAUCAAACCAGUCAACCAAACCAGCCAACCCAUUAACUGAUCAAACCAGCCAACCAAUGAGCCAACCAACCAAACCAGCCAACCAAAACCAGCCAACCAAUCAGCCAACUAAUCAGUCAUGCAAAUGAACCACCCCAACCCACCAACCAACAAACCAGCCAACCAGCCAACAAAUCAACUAACCAGCCAACUAGCCAACCAACCAAUCAAUCAGUCAACCAACCAACCAACCAACCAGCCAGAUCAAUCAACCAACCAACCAAACAAACCAGGCAACCAACAACCAGCAGGACAAACUACCACCCAACCAGCCAUCCAACCAACCAAUCAGCCAAAGAGCAUGCUUUGUUGCCCAAGAUCAGCUCAAAUAAUGGAAUCUUAGUGUACUUCUGAUAAAAAUGGCCUCAGAUCUCCCAUGCUUUAUCCAAGGCUCAGCACAGCACAGUCCUGAUGCUCUGCUACACCAUGGAGGAUUUGCUUUUCUCCUCUUCAUCCCCUUUGAUUUCUGCAUCUAUAAUCACUCCAGCAGUCCAUGAAGUGCGAUCCAUGAUGCAGUCUUCCCUCCACAACCUUGAUGCAACCUAAACACAAGCUGAAAUAUGCUCACUUGAGGAAAUAUGGCAUGAAUCAGCCUGAAAUGUGAGCUUUCAAAUAAAAAUGCAGUAAAGCAUCUUGUGUUCUUUCUCAAGGUACGUUCACAUAAGUCAGUGACAGUGGUGAGAACCUAGGUCAUAAGGAUUCUAAUGGUCUCCCUGGCAGGAUUGGGUAUGGAACAGCCCACAGGUUACCCCAGAAGAUCCAUUUAUUUGAUAUAAAGGACCAAGGUUCGGGGACGUGGCUGCUACUGUCACCUUGCCCUGCAAUGCCAAGAGCAUGCUCCCAGGUGGGAGGUGGGAAGGGCAUCCUCAGGCUUCAAUGGACUGAGGAAAUAGAGGACAGAAUGAUGUGUUUGUGUUCACUGCCAUCCAUCCCACCUUCCCUCACAGAUCCUUUGCCCUGCAGAUGCCAGAUGGAGCUGGAACAUUGAAAGCAAUUUUGCCUUUUGGCAGCCCAGGACACUUAGGAUUUCCCUUUCCCCCUUUUCACUUCUUGAACCAAGCAUUUCUGUGUUUGCAGCCUGCAUCAUGGUAUAACCUGAUUCAGCCUAAGUUGGUCUAAUUUGGCAGGAGCCCAGUCAAAAUCUGGUCUGUCCAAACAAAUUAGUGGAACAAAUUAGUAGCAAGUCAGCAAUUGCCAGCUUGUACACGUCCACAAAAUCAUGACCUUAUUGCCUUCACUGUCAUCAAAAAUUUUCAGGUGGGGCUUAGAGAAGGAAAUUAAUAUGGCAGUGCCAUAUCACCUCUUUGAUGAAAAGCACACCAACAUCAAGCUCCAUCCACACUGACACGAUCCAUCUCCUACUGGUCCCAGGCCCAACAAAAUCUGAAGACACUGAUAAAGUACAUUAAAGAAUGUUUCUGUUUUGAAUGACCUAGAAAUUAAAUCCAAAAUAUGUGGUGCAUAUAGGAGGAGCUGAGAUUUUUCUAGGCACCCCAGCAUCUAUGGAGGAAUAAAUCAAAUCACACGUUCAAAGCCAUCUGACUUAAUUCAUCAUCAGCUGUUUUAAUACUGACAUUAAAACAACAACAACAACAAAACAAAACCCCGAAUUGGUCCAGGCUUUCCGUUUGGCUAAAACCAUAAUGCAAGGGCAAUGGGAAGCUUGGAGUAACCGCUGUUAAACUCUAUCCGCCCUUCAUCUCCAAUGUAAAACUGAUGCUCGGUAGUCAACAAGAGAAAACUAUUUUUCCAUAACCAGUUCAUUUUGUUUGGCUUAAGCUAAAAUCCGAGGGCUGCCUUUUCAUUUACAGGCACGCUUUGUAUCUAGGUUAAGGACUUUAAAGUAUGCUAAGGAUAGGCUUUUGUUCUCCACCUCCUUGCUGUUCCCUCCUGGUUACCGUGGAGGUCAGCUCCCCCAUUAGAGCCCGUGGGGUGUGACACAUGCUGCAGCGCAGAGCAAGCUGCCACCGAUGCACUCCCUCCUUCACAAAUCCCCACAGGUCACAGCUCCCAGGGGCUCUCAGACAACUUUCUGUAUAAUUCAUGAUCGCUUCCUGAGGUAAAUAAUGCAUUCUGCGCCUCUGGUUAUUGUGCUCCUUCAAAGGCCCAGUCAAAUAAAAGUUUGUUGUUUAUCUUACUUUAAGAAUGACUGUUUGCCCAUCUCCCCUGACGUACCUUUAUCUUGUUUCUGCCUCCCACAAUAGCGAGAAGUCACUGCCAGGUAACCCCUUCCAUUUCAGCCCUCUGAAAAAAAAAAUCAUGGCGUGCUGCGUUCAAUUCCAUGGGUAAAGUGCCCUGACCUCCGCUGUAUCUCUGAGAUUUACGCUGGGCUGUAUCCACUUUUUCCCCUUCAGUCACCACACACAGCAGCCAGGACUCAUUAUCUGCCAAGCAGCCUCCAUCAGAUGGAGCCCGUAGGGUUUGGGAUGGAUGCCACUGUCACCGGGUCCCCAUUUAGCUAUGUU
Molecule: long non-coding RNA, 3746 nt
Filed under: Gallus gallus (chicken)
Lineage: Eukaryota; Metazoa; Chordata; Aves; Galliformes; Phasianidae
Description: lncRNA (ENSGALG00010019791.1)
Source: RNAcentral